This 497-nucleotide ribosomal RNA is filed under the name uncultured bacterium. Its description in RNAcentral is "partial 16S ribosomal RNA". It matches the Rfam family "Bacterial small subunit ribosomal RNA", at positions 28 to 507 of the family's 1533-position model. The record is from RNAcentral.
GAUGAACGCUGGCGGCGUGCCUAAUACAUGCAAGUCGAGCGAACAGACGAGGAGCUUGCUCCUCUGACGUUAGCGGCGGACGGGUGAGUAACACGUGGAUAACCUACCUAUAAGACUGGGAUAACUUCGGGAAACCGGAGCUAAUACCGGAUAAUAUAUUGAACCGCAUGGUUCAAUAGUGAAAGACGGUUUUGCUGUCACUUAUAGAUGGAUCCGCGCCGCAUUAGCUUGUUGGUAAGGUAACGGCUUACCAAGGCAACGAUGCGUAGCCGACCUGAGAGGGUGAUCGGCCACACUGGAACUGAGACACGGUCCAGACUCCUACGGGAGGCAGCAGUAGGGAAACUUCCGCAAUGGGCGAAAGCCUGACGGAGCAACGCCGCGUGAGUGAUGAAGGUCUUCGGAUCGUAAAACUCUGUUAUUAGGGAAGAACAAAUGUGUAAGUAACUAUGCACGUCUUGACGGUACCUAAUCAGAAAGCCACGGCUAACUACGUG